AUUGAACGCUGGCGGCAUGCCUUACACAUGCAAGUCGAACGGCAGCGGGGGAGAAGCUUGCUUUUCCUGCCGGCGAGUGGCGAACGGGUGAGUAAUACAUCGGAACGUGCCCCGUAGUGGGGGAUAACUAGUCGAAAGAUUAGCUAAUACCGCAUACGACCUGAGGGUGAAAGUGGGGGACCGCAAGGCCUCAUGCUAUAGUAGCGGCCGAUGUCUGAUUAGCUAGUUGGUGGGGUAAAGGCCUACCAAGGCGACGAUCAGUAGCUGGUCUGAGAGGACGAGCAGCCACACUGGGACUGAGACACGGCCCAGACUCCUACGGGAGGCAGCAGUGGGGAAUUUUGGACAAUGGGCGAAAGCCUGAUCCAGCAAUGCCGCGUGUGUGAAGAAGGCCUUCGGGUUGUAAAGCACUUUUGUCCGGAAAGAAAUGGCUCUGGUUACUACCUGGGGUCGAUGACGGUACCGGAAGAAUAAGGACCGGCUAACUACGUGCCAGCAGCCGCCGUAA
Molecule: ribosomal RNA, 508 nt
Filed under: uncultured bacterium
Lineage: Bacteria
Description: partial 16S ribosomal RNA
Rfam family: Bacterial small subunit ribosomal RNA
Source: RNAcentral